UGGGGAAUUUUGGACAAUGGGCGAAAGCCUGAUCCAGCAAUGCCGUGUGUGAUGAAGCAGCUUCGGGUUGUAAAGCACUUUUGUCCGGAAAGAAAUCCUUGGCUCUAAUACAGUCGGGGGGAUACGGUACCGGAAGAAUAAGCACCGGGCUAACUACGUGCCAGCAGCCGCGGUAAUACNUAGGGUGCAAGCGUUAAUCGGAAUUACUGGGCGUAAAGCGUGCGCAGGCGGUUUGCUAAGACCGAUGUGAAAUCCCCGGGCUCAACCUGGGAACUGCAUUGGUGACUGGCAGGCUAGAGUAUGGCAGAGGGGGGUAGAAUUCCACGUGUAGCAGUGAAAUGCGUAGAGAUGUGGAGGAAUACCGAUGGCGAAGGCAGCCCCCUGGGCCAAUACUGACGCUCAUGCACGAAAGCGUGGGGGAGCAAACAGGAUUAGAUACCCUGGUAGUCCACGCCCU
Molecule: ribosomal RNA, 457 nt
Filed under: uncultured bacterium
Lineage: Bacteria
Description: partial 16S ribosomal RNA
Rfam family: Bacterial small subunit ribosomal RNA
Source: RNAcentral